RNAcentral lists this ribosomal RNA (465 nucleotides) under Vreelandella stevensii. RNAcentral describes it as "partial 16S ribosomal RNA". It matches the Rfam family "Bacterial small subunit ribosomal RNA", at positions 338 to 795 of the family's 1533-position model. Lineage: Bacteria; Pseudomonadati; Pseudomonadota; Gammaproteobacteria; Oceanospirillales; Halomonadaceae. The record is from RNAcentral.
CCUACGGGAGGCAGCAGUGGGGAAUAUUGGACAAUGGGGGGAACCCUGAUCCAGCCAUGCCGCGUGUGUGAAGAAGGCCCUCGGGUUGUAAAGCACUUUCAGUGAGGAAGAACGCCUGGUGGUUAAUACCCAUCAGGAAAGACAUCACUCACAGAAGAAGCACCGGCUAACUCCGUGCCAGCAGCCGCGGUAAUACGGAGGGUGCGAGCGUUAAUCGGAAUUACUGGGCGUAAAGCGCGCGUAGGUGGCUUGAUAAGCCGGUUGUGAAAGCCCCGGGCUCAACCUGGGAACGGCAUCCGGAACUGUCAAGCUAGAGUGCAGGAGAGGAAGGUAGAAUUCCCGGUGUAGCGGUGAGAUGCGUAGAGAUCGGGAGGAAUACCAGUGGCGAAGGCGGCCUUCUGGACUGACACUGACACUGAGGUGCGAAAGCGUGGGUAGCAAACAGGAUUAGAUACCCGGGUAGUC